This is a long non-coding RNA of Daphnia pulicaria, 758 nucleotides long. RefSeq lists it as uncharacterized. The record is from RefSeq and is a predicted model, not a curated record. The transcript is spliced from 3 exons. NCBI's taxonomy places the organism in Eukaryota, Metazoa, Arthropoda, Branchiopoda, Diplostraca, Daphniidae.
GGAUGAAAAAAAUCGUAUAAAAUGAGAGAAAAAAGGUGAAGGAAAAUCAGUCGAGUGAGGAUCUCCGACACGUCAACAACUCACAACUGUAGCGCACUAUUUGUCACCGGGAUUCUUCAUUGUGUAAUUAGUUCAUGAUUUAAAAGGAGAGAAAAGGCGAUAGAAAUCAGUCGAGUGAGCAUCUCCGAUACGACAACAACUGCAGCGCACUAGUUGUCACCAACUGCAUUCCUCAUCGGGUAAUCAAUUCACAAUCAUGGGUAACUAUAACUACAACAUCGUCGUGCUGCUGUUGGGUGUGUAUCGUUGAUGGCAUCGACCACGUGUGAACCGAUGUCUCCUGGGUGUGGUGGACAUGUUGGCCCCGAGUUACAUCACCAAAGCGCCUAAUUACUGGGGCCUAAGUACUACACCACCAAAGUUCCAGAGUAUUAAACUAAAACCUACGCUGUUCCAGCUUACUAUACUGAUGCUCCCAAGUACUAUUCUGCUCCCUGGUAGUUGGUACUAAACCGAGUCUCCAGCUUAUUACACCACAAAGCGGUCGAAUACUACACCGAAGCGCCCAGUUACAUCGUUUUCUGCCCCAGAUUUCAUCAGCGAGGCACCGGAGUACUACACCAGCGAGGCACCGGAUUACUACACCAGCGAGGCACCGGAGUACUACACCAGCGAGGCACCGGAGUACUACACGAAUACGAAUGCUGUUCCAGGUUACUACACCGGUAAAGCGGUCGAAUACUGCAUCGAACCGCCCA